GGUCAAGUUAUUAAGGGUGCAGGGCGGAUGCCUUGGCACUAGGAGCCGAUGAAGGACGUGAUAAGCUGCGAUAAGCUUCGGGGAGUUGCACGUAAACUUUGAUCCGAAGAUUUCCGAAUGAGGAAACUCACUUAGAGUAAUGUCUAAGUAUCAUUAAGUGAAUACAUAGCUUAAUGAGGGGAACUCAGGGAACUGAAACAUCUAAGUACCUGAAGGAAGAGAAAGAAAUUCGAUUCCGUAAGUAGCGGCGAGCGAACGCGGAUUAGCCCAAACCAAUAAAGUUUUCUUUAUUGGGGUUGCGGACAUAUCAUAACGAAGAGGUAUCGUAAUUGAAGAGGUUUGGAAAGACCCACCACAGAAGGUAAUAGUCCUGUAUGUUAAACGAGAAGACUUCAGAUAUGAUCCAGAGUACCACGGGACACGUGAAACCCUGUGGGAAGCAGGAGGGACCACCCUCCAAGGCUAAAUACUACCUAGUGACCGAUAGCGUAUAGUACCGUGAGGGAAAGGUGAAAAGAACCCCGGGAGGGGAGUGAAAUAGAACCUGAAACCCUGCACUUACAAGCUGUGGAAGCACAUUUCUUGUGUGACCGCGUACUUUUUGUAGAACGGGCCAACGAGUUACGUUAAGUAGCAAGGUUAAGCACUUAAGGUGCGGAGCCGUAGCGAAAGCGAGUUUUAACUGAGCGUUCAGUUACUUGACGUAGACCCGAAACCGGGCGACCUACCCAUGAGCAGGAUGAAGCGAAAGUAAAAUUUCGUGGAGGUCCGAACCCACGAGCGUUGAAAAGCUCGGGGAUGACUUGUGGGUAGCGGUGAAAUUCCAAUCGAGCCCGGAGAUAGCUGGUUCUCCCCGAAAUAGCUUUAGGGCUAGCCUCAAGGUGAGAGAUACGGAGGUAGAGCACUGAAUGUCCUAGGGGGUAUUGCACCUACCGAAGACUAUCAAACUCCGAAUGCCGUCAUCUUAUACUUGGGAGUCAGACUGUGGGUGAUAAGAUUCAUAGUCGAAAGGGCAACAGCCCAGAUCGUCAGCUAAGGUCCCUAAAUGUAAGUUAAGUGGUAAAGGAUGUGGGAUUGCACAGACAACCAGGAUGUUGGCUUAGAAGCAGCCACUCAUUCAAAGAGUGCGUAAUAGCUCACUGGUCGAGUGAUCCUGCGCCGAAGAUUUCCGGGGCUAAAACUUACUACCGAAGCUACGGCAUCAGUAAUGAUGGGUAGGGGAGCUUCCCAUACGGGUUGAAGCAUGACCGUAAGGACAUGUGGACAGUAUGGGAGUGAGAAUGUUGGCAUGAGUAGCGAGAUGUGGGUGAGAAUCCCACAGGCCGUAAACCCAAGGUUUCCAGGGGAAGGUUCGUCCGCCCUGGGUUAGUCGGGACCUAAGCUGAGGCCGAAAGGCGUAGGUGAUGGACAACAGGUUGAUAUUCCUGUACUACCGAUAACCGUUUGAGAGAAGGGAUGACACAGUAGGAUAAGCUAAGCACACUGUUGGUUAUGUGUGCCCAAGCAUUGAGGCGGUCAAAGUAGGCAAAUCCGCUUUGAUAAUGCUGGGAUGUGAUGGGGAGCGAAAUUUAGUAGCGAAGUAGCUGAUUUCACACUGUCAAGAAAAGUCUCUAUCGAGGUUAAAGGUACCCGUACCGCAAACCGACACAGGUGGGUGAGGAGAGUAUCCUAAGGCCAGCGAGAGAACUGUUGUUAAGGAACUCGGCAAAAUGACCCCGUAACUUAGGGAUAAGGGGUGCCACCAUCAGGUGGCCGCAGAGAAUAGGCCCAAGCGACUGUUUACCAAAAACAUAGGUUUCUGCUAAGUCGCAAGACGAUGUAUAGGAGCUGACGCCUGCCCGGUGCUGGAAGGUUAAGGGGAUCUGUUAGAGCAAUCGAAGCAGUGAACUUAAGCCCCAGUAAACGGCGGCCGUAACUAUAACGGUCCUAAGGUAGCGAAAUUCCUUGUCGGGUAAGUUCCGACCCGCACGAAAGGCGUAACGAUUUGGGCACUGUCUCAACAACAGACUCGGUGAAAUUGUAAUUCCGGUGAAGAUGCCGGAUACCUGCGACAGGACGGAAAGACCCCAUGGAGCUUUACUGUAGCUUGACAUUGGGUCUUGGUACUACAUGUACAGGAUAGGUGGGAGGCUUUGAAACCAGGACGCCAGUUUUGGCGGAGCCAUCCUUGGGAUACCACCCUUGUAGUACUGGGACUCUAACCAUAGGCCAUGAAUCUGGUCUUGGGACACUGUCAGGUGGGCAGUUUGACUGGGGCGGUCGCCUCCCAAAAGGUAACGGAGGCGCUCAAAGGUUCUCUCAGUACGGUCGGAAAUCGUACGUAGAGUGUAAAGGCAAAAGAGAGCUUGAUUGCAAGACAUACAGGUCGAGCAAGGAUGAAAAUCGGACUUAGUGAUCCGGUGGUUCUGCGUGGAAGGGCCAUCGCUCAACGGAUAAAAGCUACCCUGGGGAUAACAGGCUUAUCUCCCCCAAGAGUCCACAUCGACGGGGAGGUUUGGCACCUCGAUGUCGGCUCAUCACAUCCUGGGGCUGUAGUAGGUCCCAAGGGUUGGGCUGUUCGCCCAUUAAAGUGGUACGCGAGCUGGGUUCAGAACGUCGUGAGACAGUUCGGUCCCUAUCCGUCGCAGGCGU
This 2631-nucleotide ribosomal RNA is filed under the name Clostridioides difficile R20291. RNAcentral describes it as "bacterial LSU rRNA". It matches the Rfam family "Bacterial large subunit ribosomal RNA". The record is from RNAcentral. Lineage: Bacteria; Bacillati; Bacillota; Clostridia; Peptostreptococcales; Peptostreptococcaceae.